Molecule: long non-coding RNA, 2321 nt
Organism: Lolium perenne
Lineage: Eukaryota; Viridiplantae; Streptophyta; Magnoliopsida; Poales; Poaceae
Source: RefSeq, a predicted model, not a curated record
CUUCUCAUUCUUUUAUUGCUAUGUACACUCGCCCAGGUGUGCUUUUCAAGGUUUAUAUUAUUCUAAUUUGUGGUUAUUGAUUUUGUCUUCUGGUGUCAAACAACAAUUAGCAGAGUGGUUUGGGGAAGUUGAGUAGCCAGUUUAGCUUCCGCAAUUCAUGUGUAUUCUUUAUGCUCUGUCAUGCACACAAGAUUACCUUUCCUGAAUUUAGCUCCAACCAACAGUAAGUACUGCAUCUAGCUUUAACAAUUUUGCAAUUUAUGGAUUGAAGGAGAUUAAGAAGUUUCUAAUUCAUGAUUACCUCAUUCAUUUCUCUCAAAUUCCAUUUACUUGCGAGGUCACCAUGCUUUCUGUUUUUUCCUUUUUAAAUAGUUAUGAUGCACUCCGUCUCUCCCUCAUGCGGCUCUGGCUGGCAUGGCCUCGCUCGCCUCGGUCUUCGUCGGCUCCGGUGAGGCGGGCCGUGGGUGUCAGCCCCGUCCUUCAUCGGCGGCGCGCUGGCAGUCCCAGUACUCUCUCUGCCCGCCACCCUCCCUCUACCCUGCCUCUUCUCCUUCCAGUUUUUUCAUCCCGUUUGCUUUUAUGUGUGUGUCUCUCUACUGCUUGGGAGGGGAAAAGAUGGAGUUCGUUGGGAGAUGGGUUUGUGCUGGGAUCCCCUCUCCCCCAUGGCAUUACUGACUAAAUCCUCAAGGCCUAUGAAAUUUCUUCAAGUUUAGGUCUGGAAUCAUCUCCUUCUCCCCGUGCAGCUCAUCCUCGCCGGCAGGAGGAGCAUGGGCCGCGGCCGUCACCUGCCAUGGCACCCCCGUCGUGACCCUCAACGCCAAGAACAAGUCCACUUGCAGCGCUAGAUGCGGGUCAAUUAUAAUCGCAUGGGACUACCAACUCACAGGUUUAUCUCUCCCUACUAAUCCAGGUGCAUCUCCAUAGUCAUCUUGCCCUCCAUAAUUUUAUUUCAUAAAAGGUCAAGGCCAAGGUAAAAGUGCAGCCAAACUCCUCCUAUCUGAUUUAGCCCCUAGAAGCUAGAACAUCUCAUCUUUGCUUAUGCAAAUCUGUUUUGUCUAUGACUAGGUGUUCGAUUAAAAUCCUUGCUAAGAUAUGUUAUAUUUAUGCUCCACCGUACCAGGAUGUUAAGGAGGGAGAUUUUAUGUGAGCUUAUAUUCUAUACUUCUAUCCUUUCUCACUAACAAUGAAUGUGUUGUUCUUCCUGGUUCGGCUAGGCAUGAAGCACAAUUAUCCCUAGAAGCUUUUGGGAAUGUCUUGGCCAAUACAGGCUGUGAUAAGAUGUGUGACUAACUAUGUCCAGAAGCUUUUGGGAAUUCUCACUAACACAAUUAUUCACGCUUUAUUUAAUGCUUGCUUAUCACAUUGGCACAAGUUUCCUGACUGCUCUAUUUACUCUCUAUGCCAGUUUUAUUCGUUCAUGUCAAUGGCCUGGCCAUUACCAUUAUGUGUUACAGCUUGGUUGACGGUUUUUUUUCUCCUGCUUGUUGCUUUUUUUUCGGUAAUGUCAUGUAUAUAUCAUAGUCUAGGAAAAACCUAGCCGGCAUGAACUAGAAUGAGUAUGCACUGUGUUUCGGCAACCAUGUGGCUUGAUCUCUAUAUGUUUCCUCUUUUCAUUACUAUUGCACAUAUCAUUUAUUGUGUUCUUUGUCAUCUGUUGAAUUGGUCCAAAACUAAGUUCAUUUCUUGUAAUGAAAAAUCAUUGAAUUACUGUCUGAAAAUAAGUACAUUUUCAUUUGUUUUAUCAGUGGAUGAAUCUCCAGACUUGGGUUUCCAAUUAUGCUAUAUCCAACUAAAAAUAUUUCUUUGGUAAACUCAUGCUUGACUUACUUGGGAAGGUAUUGUUGUGUAAACAUGAAAGCUUACUUUCUGUGCAGGUAAGAAAAGUGUCCUAUUCUUCCAUGGAAUGUGCGCUGGUGUUCAAAUGUGUGGGUGUUCAGAUGCAAGCUUGAUAAUCUCUAUGUGAUAUGUAUGUAGGUUCAUUUUUUGGGCUUACAUCGACCAUCACUUAACUGCAGGAGCGAAACUACAUUCAGGGAAUUGGCUUCAGAGAUCUACAGAUAUUCAGCGCUCAAGCUUCCUGCAGCAGUUGAUGCAGUUGCAGAUACAUCUUAUUUAGCUUAGAUCAUCCUAGUGCAUUAUUAUGUAUAUUUUUUCGUUACCAGUUUGCUCUAUACUAUAUUACUAAAGAUAUUUCCUUCAGUGUGCUCUCUGUUUAGUUGUAGUCAGCGUAUUGAGGUCUGUCCUUUAUCUCAUUUGUCUUUCUACUACUCCAGAUCAUCAUAGCCAGUUCACUUAGUGAUGACCUUUUCAGUUUCACCUUA